This 99-nucleotide signal recognition particle RNA is filed under the name Burkholderiales bacterium. RNAcentral describes it as "signal recognition particle sRNA small type". It matches the Rfam family "Bacterial small signal recognition particle RNA". From Rfam's summary of the family: The signal recognition particle (SRP) is a universally conserved ribonucleoprotein involved in the co-translational targeting of proteins to membranes. Archaeal SRP consists of a 7S RNA and homologues of the eukaryotic SRP19 and SRP54 proteins. Lineage: Bacteria; Pseudomonadati; Pseudomonadota; Betaproteobacteria; Burkholderiales. The record is from RNAcentral. RNAcentral also lists the same sequence under 1 other name.
GGCGGGUCGCCCCGCAUUGUCCGGUAGUGAACCUGGUCAGGUCCGGAAGGAAGCAGCCACAGCUAUUUAGGGCAAGUGCCGGGGGAACGGCUCGCCACC